UAUUGGUCAAUGGACGCAAGUCUGAACCAGCCAUGCCGCGUGCAGGAUGAAGCAUCUAUGGUGUGUAAACUGCUUUUGUACGGGAAGAAACCCUCCUACGUGUAGGAGCUUGACGGUACCGUAAGAAUAAGGAUCGGCUAACUCCGUGCCAGCAGCCGCGGUAAUACGGAGGAUCCAAGCGUUAUCCGGAAUCAUUGGGUUUAAAGGGUCCGUAGGCGGCUUUAUAAGUCAGUGGUGAAAGCCCAUCGCUUAACGAUGGAACGGCCAUUGAUACUGUAGAGCUUGAAUUACUUGGAAGUAGCUAGAAUAUGUAGUGUAGCGGUGAAAUGCUUAGAUAUUACAUGGAAUACCAAUUGCGAAGGCAGGUUACUAUAAGUGGAUUGACGCUGAUGGACGAAAGCGUGGGGAGCGAACAGG
RNAcentral lists this ribosomal RNA (417 nucleotides) under uncultured bacterium. RNAcentral's name for it is "bacterial SSU rRNA". It matches the Rfam family "Bacterial small subunit ribosomal RNA", at positions 362 to 776 of the family's 1533-position model. The record is from RNAcentral.